RNAcentral lists this ribosomal RNA (716 nucleotides) under uncultured bacterium. RNAcentral describes it as "bacterial SSU rRNA". It matches the Rfam family "Bacterial small subunit ribosomal RNA", at positions 59 to 785 of the family's 1533-position model. The record is from RNAcentral.
CAGUCGAACGGACUUACAUUGAAGCCUAGCGAUAUGUAAGUUAGUGGCGGACGGGUGAGUAACGCGUGGGUAACCUGCCUUGUACUGGGGGACAACAGUUGGAAACGACUGCUAAUACCGCAUAAGCGCACAGCUUCGCAUGAAGCAGUGUGAAAAACUCCGGUGGUACAAGAUGGACCCGCGUCUGAUUAGCUGGUUGGUGAGGUAACGGCCCACCAAGGCAACGAUCAGUAGCCGGCCUGAGAGGGUGAACGGCCACAUUGGGACUGAGACACGGCCCAAACUCCUACGGGAGGCAGCAGUGGGGAAUAUUGCACAAUGGGGGAAACCCUGAUGCAGCAACGCCGCGUGAGUGAAGAAGUAUUUCGGUAUGUAAAGCUCUAUCAGCAGGAAAGAAAAUGACGGUACCUGACUAAGAAGCCCCGGCUAACUACGUGCCAGCAGCCGCGGUAAUACGUAGGGGGCAAGCGUUAUCCGGAUUUACUGGGUGUAAAGGGAGCGUAGACGGUUUUGCAAGUCUGAAGUGAAAGCCCGGGGCUUAACCCCGGGACUGCUUUGGAAACUGUAGGACUAGAGUGCAGGAGAGGUAAGUGGAAUUCCUAGUGUAGCGGUGAAAUGCGUAGAUAUUAGGAGGAACACCAGUGGCGAAGGCGGCUUACUGGACUGUAACUGACGUUGAGGCUCGAAAGCGUGGGGAGCAAACAGGAUUUAGAUAC